CUUAACACAUGCAAGUCGAACGCCCCGCAAGGGGAGUGGCAGACGGGUGAGUAACGCGUGGGAACAUGCCCUUUGGUUCGGAAUAACUCAGGGAAACUUGAGCUAAUACCGGAUAAGCCCCGUAAGGGGGAAAGAUUUAUCGCCGAAGGAUUGGCCCGCGUCCGAUUAGCUAGUUGGUGAGGUAAUGGCUCACCAAGGCGACGAUCGGUAGCUGGUCUGAGAGGAUGAUCAGCCACACUGGGACUGAGACACGGCCCAGACUCCUACGGGAGGCAGCAGUGGGGAAUAUUGGACAAUGGGGGCAACCCUGAUCCAGCCAUGCCGCGUGAGUGAUGAAGGCCCUAGGGUUGUAAAGCUCUUUCGACGGGGACGAUAAUGACGGUACCCGUAGAAGAAGCCCCGGCUAACUUCGUGCCAGCAGCCGCGGUAAUACGAAGGGGGCUAGCGUUGCUCGGAAUCACUGGGCGUAAAGCGCACGUAGGCGGAUCUUUAAGUCAGGGGUGAAAUCCCAAGGCUCAACCUUGGAACUGCCUUUGAUACUGGGGAUCUCGAGUCCGGAAGAGGUGAGUGGAACUGCGAGUGUAGAGGUGAAAUUCGUAGAUAUU
RNAcentral lists this ribosomal RNA (605 nucleotides) under uncultured earthworm cast bacterium. RNAcentral's name for it is "bacterial SSU rRNA". It matches the Rfam family "Bacterial small subunit ribosomal RNA", at positions 47 to 698 of the family's 1533-position model. The record is from RNAcentral.